GCUAGUGUGCAACAAUUAAUCUGGCAAUCAGGGUAGGACCUGUGUCACAGAGCCUCCUGGAAAAUACCCACAAUGAUGUGGUGGCUUCAUACAGACAUUGCAUGUGCCAUAACCACAAGGGCAGCUAGGAAUCGGAAAGUUCGGGAAAGAACACAGAGACACACAGAAGUACAGGUUGCAAGGAAUAUAUGGCUACACGACCCAUGUACUUGCUGGGAGUGUUAACACUGCUAUUAACUAUGACAGAGCAAGGGCAGUUUCGGCCUUACCUGGUGCAGAAAAACAUAUUGUCCCUGCGCUUCAUUAUGAUCGACAGCUUGUUUUUCAAGCGUAAUCGCUACUUCUGGCAUAGCCUACCUUCUUGUGCCUAAUGUGGAAUACACUUGAAAAAGCACACAGAGAAUUGUUCACAGAGCAUGCAUUAUUCAACGUUUAUACAAAUAGCUGCAUUCUGAAGCUCUUUACAUGAAUUAAAAAAACAGUGGUGAUUAUUUUGCCCUGCUGCUCUUUUUUUUUCCCUCAAAAGGGCUUCUCUCCUGGUAUUAGCUUGAUAAGUUUGAUUGCAGUUAACGGUAACAUUUUCAUUGACAUUACCUUUGCCUAAAAAGUGAUGGCAGGGUAUUUAAACCAACACAUAAGUGUUGUAUGAAUGCUGACCCAAUAUAAUUUUUCAUGGAGUCAUUGUUUCUGAAUACUCUACUGGUUUUGUGACUGGGCGCAGAUAGGUUAUUGACCUGUGCAUGCAUGUUUAGUUUGUUGUGCCUUGCAAACCAGUGCAAGAAAGCUCAAUGCAAAAUUUUGGUAAAUGUAACAGGUUGUUUGUGUUAUAUUCAGUGCAGCAUUGAUUUUUCACCUGCCACGAUCUCUAAUUGACACCAUAAUUAUUACACUAUAGUUGAUAGUUAUUGUCCACACUAUUUUUUUCCUGGCCUAAUUGUCAAUUGAAUCACUGUUGUCGUGUCUAAUUAAAAAAAAAAUAAGCCCCUCUGAAAUGCUUUAAUUUUUUUGUGAAUUUGCAUUAAGUUAGCACAUUAUAACUGGGUCAUGACGUGCCAAGUCAACCAGCGUUCU
Molecule: long non-coding RNA, 1071 nt
Organism: Rhipicephalus microplus (southern cattle tick)
Lineage: Eukaryota; Metazoa; Arthropoda; Arachnida; Ixodida; Ixodidae
Source: RefSeq, a predicted model, not a curated record